RNAcentral lists this ribosomal RNA (376 nucleotides) under uncultured bacterium. RNAcentral's name for it is "bacterial SSU rRNA". It matches the Rfam family "Bacterial small subunit ribosomal RNA", at positions 28 to 361 of the family's 1533-position model. The record is from RNAcentral.
GAUGAACGCUGGCGGCAUGCCUAAGACAUGCAAGUCGAACGAGGCGGCCCAAUGAAGACUGCGUGCUUGCACAAAGUUGGAUUUGGAUUCCCGUCUAGUGGCGCAAGGGUGAGUAACACGUGGGUAAUCUACCUUCGAGUCUGGAAUAACAGUUAGAAAUGAUUGCUAAUGCCGGAUUAUAUAUAGGAUGAUACGUCUUCCUAUAUUUAAAAAGGAGCCUUUAAAGCUUCGCUUGAAGAUGAGCCUGCGCCGUAUUAGCUAGUUGGUGGGUAAAGGCCUACCAAGGCGACGAUGCGUAGCCGACCUGAGAGGAUGAACGGGCCACAUUGGGAACUGAGACACGGUCCAGACUCCUACGGGAGGCAGCAGUGAGGAA